GUGCCAGCCGCCGCGGUAAUACGUAGGUGGCAAGCGUUGUCCGGAUUUAUUGGGCGUAAAGCGAGCGCAGGCGGUUUCUUAAGUCUGGUGUGAAAGCCCCCGGCUCAACCGGGGAGGGUCAUUGGAAACUGGGAGACUUGAGUGCAGAAGAGGAGAGUGGAAUUCCAUGUGUAGCGGUGAAAUGCGUAGAUAUAUGGAGGAACACCAGUGGCGAAGGCGGCUCUCUGGUCUGUAACUGACGCUGAGGCUCGAAAGCGUGGGGAGCGAACAGGAUUAGAUACCCUGGUAGUCCACGCCGUAAACGAUGAGUGCUAAGUGUUGGAGGGUUUCCGCCCUUCAGUGCUGCAGCAAACGCAUUAAGCACUCCGCCUGGGGAGUACGACCGCAAGGUUGAAACUCAAAGGAAUUGACGGGGGCCCGCACAAGCGGUGGAGCAUGUGGUUUAAUUCGAAGCAACGCGAAGAACCUUACCAGGUCUUGACAUCCUUUGACCACUCUAGAGAUAGAGCUUCCCCUUCGGGGGCAAAGUGACAGGUGGUGCAUGGUUGUCGUCAGCUCGUGUCGUGAGAUGUUGGGUUAAGUCCCGCAACGAGCGCAACCCUUAUUGUUAGUUGCCAUCAUUUAGUUGGGCACUCUAGCGAGACUGCCGGUGACAAACCGGAGGAAGGUGGGGAUGACGUCAAAUCAUCAUGCCCCUUAU
This 700-nucleotide ribosomal RNA is filed under the name uncultured bacterium. RNAcentral's name for it is "bacterial SSU rRNA". It matches the Rfam family "Bacterial small subunit ribosomal RNA", at positions 505 to 1205 of the family's 1533-position model. The record is from RNAcentral.